Molecule: long non-coding RNA, 880 nt
Organism: Oncorhynchus keta (chum salmon)
Lineage: Eukaryota; Metazoa; Chordata; Actinopteri; Salmoniformes; Salmonidae
Exons: 3
Source: RefSeq, a predicted model, not a curated record
GGUUGGAGCAGGAGACUGUUAUAUACACAGAGAGGUUGGAGCAGGAGACUGUUAUAUACACAGAGAGGUUGGAGCAGGAGACUGUUAUAUACACAGAGAGGUUGGAGCAGGAGACUGUUAUAUACACAGAGAGGUUGGAGCAGGAGACUGUUAUAUACACAGAGAGGUUGGAGCAGGAGACUGUUAUAUACACAGAGAGGUUGGAGCAGGAGACUGUUACAUACACAGAGAGGUUGGAGCAGGAGACUGUUAUAUACACAGAGAGGUUGGAGCAGGAGACUGUUACAUACACAGAGAGGUUGGAGCAGGAGACUGUUAUAUACACAGAGAGGUUGGAGCAGGAGACUGUUACAUACACAGAGAGGUUGGAGCAGGAGACUGUUAUAUACACAGAGAGGUUGGAGCAGGAGACUGUUACAUACACAGAGAGGUUGGAGCAGGAGACUGUUAUAUACACAGAGAGGUUGGAGCAGGAGACUGUUAUAUACACAGAGAGGUUGGAGCAGGAGACUGUUAUAUACACAGAGAGGUUGGAGCAGGAGACUGUUAUAUACACAGAGAGGUUGGAGCAGGAGACUGUUAUAUACACAGAGAGGUUGGAGCAGGAGACUGUUAUAUACACAGAGAGGUUGGAGCAGGAGACUGUUAUAUACACAGAGAGGUUGGAGCAGGAGACUGUUAUAUACACAGAGAGGUUGGAGCAGGAGACUGUUAUAUACACAGAGAGGUUGGAGCAGGAGACUGUUAUAUACACAGAGAGGUUGGAGCAGGAGACUGUUAUAUACACAGAGAGGUUGGAGCAGGAGACUGUUAUAUACACAGAGAGGUUGGAGCAGGAGACUGUUAUAUACACAGAGAGGUUGGAGCAGGAGACUGUUAU